UCGGGAAUUUUGGGCAAUGGGCGAAAGCCUGACCCAGCAACGCCGCGUGAAGGAUGAAGUAUUUCGGUAUGUAAACUUCGAAAGAAUAGGAAGAAUCAAUGACGGUACUAUUUAUAAGGUCCGGCUAACUACGUGCCAGCAGCCGCGGUAAUACGUAGGGACCAAGCGUUGUUCGGAUUUACUGGGCGUAAAGGGCGCGUAGGCGGCGCGGUAAGUCACUUGUGAAAUCUCUGAGCUUAACUCAGAACGGCCAAGUGAUACUGCAGUGCUAGAGUGUGGAAGGGGCAAUCGGAAUUCUUGGUGUAGCGGUGAAAUGCGUAGAUAUCAAGAGGACCACCUGAGGUGAAGACGGGUUGCUGGGCUGACACUGACGCUGAGGCGCGAAAGCCAGGGGAGCAAACGGGAUUAGAUACCCAUGUAGUCCCUGAGCGGGCUGGCAAGGCGCAU
This 447-nucleotide ribosomal RNA is filed under the name uncultured bacterium. RNAcentral describes it as "bacterial SSU rRNA". It matches the Rfam family "Bacterial small subunit ribosomal RNA", at positions 355 to 825 of the family's 1533-position model. The record is from RNAcentral.